This 448-nucleotide ribosomal RNA is filed under the name uncultured bacterium. Its description in RNAcentral is "partial 16S ribosomal RNA". It matches the Rfam family "Bacterial small subunit ribosomal RNA", at positions 330 to 792 of the family's 1533-position model. The record is from RNAcentral.
CCCAGACUCCUACGGGAGGCAGCAGUGGGGAAUAUUGCACAAUGGGGGAAACCCUGAUGCAGCGACGCCGCGUGAGCGAAGAAGUAUUUCGGUAUGUAAAGCUCUAUCAGCAGGGAAGAAAAAAAUGACGGUACCUGAGUAAGAAGCACCGGCUAAAUACGUGCCAGCAGCCGCGGUAAUACGUAUGGUGCAAGCGUUAUCCGGAUUUACUGGGUGUAAAGGGAGCGUAGGCGGCGCGUUAAGUCUGAUGUGAAAACCCGAGGCUCAACCACGGGAGUGCAUUGGAAACUGGCGGGCUGGAGUGCCGGAGAGGUAAGCGGAAUUCCUAGUGUAGCGGUGAAAUGCGUAGAUAUUAGGAGGAACACCAGUGGCGAAGGCGGCUUACUGGACGGCAACUGACGCUGAGGCUCGAAAGCGUGGGGAGCAAACAGGAUUAGAUACCCGCGUA